CGCUGCCAGCCCUGCUCCCGGUCCCCAACCCCAUGGAGACAGAGCCCCGGGGCCAAAAACCCCCUGCGCGGAGACGGGGCAGGGCCAGCGCCUCGCCCCCGGCGGGCGGCACCCCCGGCGUGGCCGCUUCCUGCAGCCGGCAGGAAUUCCGUCGGGGAGAGCUUCGUUUCUGGAACAGCGCCGACAAAGAAUUCGUUCACUCAUUACCAGGACUGGCCUUAACGAGACAUCGAGAGAGAGAGAGACUUUCCUGAAUUAAAUAUUUCAAACAAAA
Molecule: long non-coding RNA, 274 nt
Organism: Hirundo rustica (Barn swallow)
Lineage: Eukaryota; Metazoa; Chordata; Aves; Passeriformes; Hirundinidae
Exons: 2
Source: RefSeq, a predicted model, not a curated record